RNAcentral lists this ribosomal RNA (497 nucleotides) under uncultured bacterium. RNAcentral's name for it is "partial 16S ribosomal RNA". It matches the Rfam family "Bacterial small subunit ribosomal RNA", at positions 28 to 507 of the family's 1533-position model. The record is from RNAcentral.
GAUGAACGCUGGCGGCGUGCCUAAUACAUGCAAGUCGAGCGAACGGACGAGGAGCUUGCUUCUCUGAUGUUAGCGGCGGACGGGUGAGUAACACGUGGAUAACCUACCUAUAAGACUGGGAUAACUUCGGGAAACCGGAGCUAAUACCGGAUAAUAUUUUGAACCGCAUGGUUCAAAAGUGAAAGACGGUCUUGCUGUCACUUAUAGAUGGAUCCGCGCUGCAUUAGCUAGUUGGUAAGGUAACGGCUUACCAAGGCAACGAUGCAUAGCCGACCUGAGAGGGUGAUCGGCCACACUGGAACUGAGACACGGUCCAGACUCCUACGGGAGGCAGCAGUAGGGAAUCUUCCGCAAUGGGCGAAAGCCUGACGGAGCAACGCCGCGUGAGUGAUGAAGGCCUUCGGAUCGUAAAACUCUGUUAUUAGGGAAGAACAUAUGUGUAAGUAACUGUGCACAUCUUGACGGUACCUAAUCAGAAAGCCACGGCUAACUACGUG